GUUGUUGGCAUGACACGGGUUAUGUUCUUCUCAUAUAUUUUAUGAUAGUAUGAUACUAAACCCUUAACGGGAGGAAUUGUGCCUGAUAUUCAUAUAAUGAAGACAUGAUCUUUCAAUCAGUUUAAUUGAGGUCUGGAGCUGGCAUGUCAGUUAACUGUAAGAAGUCUGUUGUUAUUUAUGUAUUAUUGUCAUUUAAUUUAUUUUCUUUUGUUACAUGUUCUGACAUCGGAUUCAGACUUCUCUUGAACUGAAUUUUAAUGUGCGUAUUGUUAUGCGUUUACUUUUCUACAUUGGCUAGAGGUAUAGGGGGAGGGUUGAGAUCUCAUAAACAUGUUUAACCCGCCGCAAUUUUGCGCCUGUCCCAAGUCAGGAGCCUCUGGCCUUUGUUAGUCUUGUAUGAUUUUUAAUUUUAGUUUCUUG
This 420-nucleotide long non-coding RNA is filed under the name Mytilus galloprovincialis (Mediterranean mussel). The record is from RNAcentral. Lineage: Eukaryota; Metazoa; Mollusca; Bivalvia; Mytilida; Mytilidae.